Phrynosoma platyrhinos (Desert horned lizard) is the source of this 72-nucleotide non-coding RNA. Lineage: Eukaryota; Metazoa; Chordata; Lepidosauria; Squamata; Phrynosomatidae. The record is from the annotation of a GenBank genome assembly.
ACCAAUGUGGCGUAGUGGUUUGAGUGUCAGACUGGGAGUCUGGAGACCAGGGUUUAAUUCUCAGCUUGGCCA